AAGUGCGAAUGCUGACAUAAGUAACGAUAAAACGGGUGAAAAACCCGUUCGCCGGAAGACCAAGGGUUCCUGUCCAACGUUAAUCGGGGCAGGGUGAGUCGGCUCCUAAGGCGAGGCUGAAAAGCGUAGUCGAUGGGAAACAGGUUAAUAUUCCUGUACUUGGUAAAGCUGCGAUGUGGGGACGGAGUAGGUUAGGUUAUCGCACUGUUGGAUAUGUGCGUUUAAGUUGGUAGGUGGGAAGUUUAGGCAAAUCCGGGCUUCCUUAACACAGAGAGAUGAUGACGAGGCUCUACGGAGCUGAAGUAACUGAUACCACACUUCCAGGAAAAGCCACUAAGCGAAAGGCUUUACUAAACCGUACUGAAAACCGACACAGGUGGUCAGGUAGAGAAUACUCAGGCGCUUGAGAGAACUCGGGUGAAGGAACUAGGCAAAAUAGCACCGUAACUUCGGGAGAAGGUGCGCCGGCGUAGAUUGUAAGGGCUAGCCCCUGAAGGUUGAACCGGUCGAAGAUACCAGCUGGCUGCAACUGUUUAUUAAAAACACAGCACUCUGCAAACACGAAAGUGGACGUAUAGGGUGUGAUGCCUGCCCGGUGCUGGAAGGUUAAUUGAUGGUGUAAUCGCAAGAGAAGCACCUGAUCGAAGCCCCAGUAAACGGCGGCCGUAACUAUAACGGUCCUAAGGUAGCGAAAUUCCUUGUCGGGUAAGUUCCGACCUGCACGAAUGGCAUAAUGAUGGCCAGGCUGUCUCCACCCGAGACUCAGUGAAAUUGAAAUCGCCGUGAAGAUGCGGUGUACCCGCGGCUAGACGGAAAGACCCCGUGAACCUUUACUAUAGCUUGACACUGAACAUUGAAUUUUGAUGUGUAGGAUAGGUGGGAGACUUAGAAGUAGUCACGCCAGUGAUUAUGGAGUCGACCUUGAAAUACCACCCUUUAACGUUUGAUGUUCUAACGAAGAUGACGAAACGUGGUCUCGGACAGUGUCUGGUGGGUAGUUUGACUGGGGCGGUCUCCUCCCAAAGCGUAACGGAGGAGCACGAAGGUUUGCUAAUCACGGUCGGACAUCGUGAGGUUAGUGCAAUGGUAUAAGCAAGCUUAACUGCGAGACAGACAAGUCGAGCAGGUACGAAAGUAGGUCAUAGUGAUCCGGUGGUUCUGAAUGGAAGGGCCAUCGCUCAACGGAUAAAAGGUACUCCGGGGAUAACAGGCUGAUACCGCCCAAGAGUUCAUAUCGACGGCGGUGUUUGGCACCUCGAUGUCGGCUCAUCACAUCCUGGGGCUGAAGUAGGUCCCAAGGGUAUGGCUGUUCGCCAUUUAAAGUGGUACGCGAGCUGGGUUUAGAACGUCGUGAGACAGUUCGGUCCCUAUCUGCCGUGGGCGUAGGAGAAUUGGUUGGGGCUGCUCCUAGUACGAGAGGACCGGAGUGGACGCACCACUGGUGUUCCGGUUGUGUCGCCAGACGCAUUGCCGGGUAGCUAAGUGCGGAAGAGAUAAGUGCUGAAAGCAUCUAAGCACGAAACUUGCCAAGAGAUGAGUUCUCCCAAUC
This 1549-nucleotide ribosomal RNA is filed under the name Haemophilus influenzae. RNAcentral describes it as "bacterial LSU rRNA". It matches the Rfam family "Bacterial large subunit ribosomal RNA", at positions 1286 to 2819 of the family's 2925-position model. Lineage: Bacteria; Pseudomonadati; Pseudomonadota; Gammaproteobacteria; Pasteurellales; Pasteurellaceae. The record is from RNAcentral.